This 736-nucleotide ribosomal RNA is filed under the name Salmonella enterica. RNAcentral describes it as "partial 23S ribosomal RNA". It matches the Rfam family "Bacterial large subunit ribosomal RNA", at positions 2067 to 2802 of the family's 2925-position model. Lineage: Bacteria; Pseudomonadati; Pseudomonadota; Gammaproteobacteria; Enterobacterales; Enterobacteriaceae. RNAcentral also lists the same sequence under 1 other name. The record is from RNAcentral.
UACCCGCGGCAAGACGGAAAGACCCCGUGAACCUUUACUAUAGCUUGACACUGAACAUUGAGCCUUGAUGUGUAGGAUAGGUGGGAGGCUUUGAAGUGUGGACGCCAGUCUGCAUGGAGCCGACCUUGAAAUACCACCCUUUAAUGUUUGAUGUUCUAACGUGGACCCGUAAUCCGGGUUGCGGACAGUGUCUGGUGGGUAGUUUGACUGGGGCGGUCUCCUCCUAAAGAGUAACGGAGGAGCACGAAGGUUGGCUAAUCCUGGUCGGACAUCAGGAGGUUAGUGCAAUGGCAUAAGCCAGCUUGACUGCGAGCGUGACGGCGCGAGCAGGUGCGAAAGCAGGUCAUAGUGAUCCGGUGGUUCUGAAUGGAAGGGCCAUCGCUCAACGGAUAAAAGGUACUCCGGGGAUAACAGGCUGAUACCGCCCAAGAGUUCAUAUCGACGGCGGUGUUUGGCACCUCGAUGUCGGCUCAUCACAUCCUGGGGCUGAAGUAGGUCCCAAGGGUAUGGCUGUUCGCCAUUUAAAGUGGUACGCGAGCUGGGUUUAGAACGUCGUGAGACAGUUCGGUCCCUAUCUGCCGUGGGCGCUGGAGAACUGAGGGGGGCUGCUCCUAGUACGAGAGGACCGGAGUGGACGCAUCACUGGUGUUCGGGUUGUCAUGCCAAUGGCACUGCCCGGUAGCUAAAUGCGGAAGAGAUAAGUGCUGAAAGCAUCUAAGCACGAAACUUGCCCCGA